UACAGAGGUCCCAAGCGUUGUUCGGAUUCACUGGGCGUAAAGGGUGCGUAGGCGGUCGGGUAAGUCUGAUGUGAAAUCUCACAGCUUAACUGUGAAACUGCAUUGGAUACUAUUCGGCUUGAGAGUUGGAGGGGGGACUGGAAUUCUUGGCGUAGCAGUGAAAUGCGUAGACAUCAAGAGGAACACCAGUGGCGAAGGCGAGUCCCUGGACAACUUCUGACGCUGAGGCACGAAAGCUAGGGGAGCAAACAGG
Molecule: ribosomal RNA, 253 nt
Filed under: uncultured bacterium
Lineage: Bacteria
Description: partial 16S ribosomal RNA
Rfam family: Bacterial small subunit ribosomal RNA
Source: RNAcentral